AGCGAACGCUGGCGGCGUGCCUAACACAUGCAAGUCGAACGUGAAAAGGGAAACCUGAGUAAAGUGGCGUACGGGUGAGUAACGCGUAGGUAAUCUACCCCAGAAUCUGGAAUAACCUGCCGAAAGGCGGGCUAAUACUGGAUAGAGCGAGGGAACUCGUAAGAGAGUUUUUCGGUAAAGGGAGCCCGCCAGGGCCUUCGUUCUGGGAUGAGCCUGCGUCUCAUUAGCUAGUUGGUAAGGUAACGGCUUACCAAGGCGAUGAUGAGUAGCUGGUCUGAGAGGAUGAUCAGCCACACUGGAACUGAAACACGGUCCAGACUCCUACGGGAGGCAGCAGUGGGGAAUCGUGAGCAAUGGACGAAAGUCAGACGCAGCCACGCCGCGUGAGUGAAGAAGGACGUCGGGUUGUAAAGCUCUGUCGGAUGGGACGAACAUCUUCAUAGUGAAUAGCUAUGAGGACUGACGGUACCAUCAAAGGAAGCACCGGCUAACUCCGUG
This 498-nucleotide ribosomal RNA is filed under the name uncultured bacterium. RNAcentral describes it as "partial 16S ribosomal RNA". It matches the Rfam family "Bacterial small subunit ribosomal RNA", at positions 29 to 507 of the family's 1533-position model. The record is from RNAcentral.